GAAUAUUGGACAAUGGGGGCAACCCUGAUCCAGCCAUGCCGCGUGCGUGAAGAAGGCCUUUUGGUUGUAAAGCACUUUAAGCAGUGAAGAAGACUCCAUGGUUAAUACCCAUGGACGAUGACAUUAGCUGCAGAAUAAGCCACGGCCAACUUUGGGCCAGAAGCCGCGGUAAGACAGAGGGUGCAAGCGUUAAUCGGAAUUCCUGGGCGUAAAGCGAGCGUAGGUGGCUUGAUAAGUCAGAUGUGAAAUCCCCGGGAUUAACCUGGGAACUGCAUCUGAUACUGUUAGGCUAGAAUAGGUGAGAGGAAGGUAGAAUUCCAGGUGUAGCGGUGAAAUGCGUAGAGAUCUGGAGGAAUACCGAUGGCGAAGGCAGCCUUCUGGCAUCAUAUUGACACUGAGGUUCGAAAGCGUGGGUAGCAAAC
This 422-nucleotide ribosomal RNA is filed under the name uncultured bacterium. Its description in RNAcentral is "bacterial SSU rRNA". It matches the Rfam family "Bacterial small subunit ribosomal RNA", at positions 359 to 773 of the family's 1533-position model. The record is from RNAcentral.